Molecule: ribosomal RNA, 497 nt
Filed under: uncultured bacterium
Lineage: Bacteria
Description: partial 16S ribosomal RNA
Rfam family: Bacterial small subunit ribosomal RNA
Source: RNAcentral
GAUGAACGCUGGCGGCGUGCCUAAUACAUGCAAGUCGAGCGAACAGACGAGGAGCUUGCUCCUCUGACGUUAGCGGCGGACGGGUGAGUAACACGUUGAUAACCUACCUAUAAGACUGGGAUAACUUCGGGAAACCGGAGCUAAUACCGGAUAAUAUAUUGAACCGCAUGGUUCAAUAGUGAAAGACGGUUUUGCUGUCACUUAUAGAUGGAUCCGCGCCGCAUUAGCUAGUUGGUAAGGUAACGGCUUACCAAGGCAACGAUGCGUAGCCGACCUGAGAGGGUGAUAGGCCACACUGGAACUGAGACACGAUCAAGACUCCUACGGGAGGCAGCAGUAGGGAAUCUUCCGCAAUGGGCGAAAGCCUGACGGAGCAACGCCGCGUGAGUGAUGAAGGUCUUCGGAUCGUAAAACUCUGUUAUUAGGGAAGAACAAAUGUGUAAGUAACUAUGCACGUCUUGACGGUACCUAAUCAGAAAGCCACGGCUAACUACGUG